Papaver somniferum (opium poppy) is the source of this 1769-nucleotide long non-coding RNA. RefSeq lists it as uncharacterized. The record is from RefSeq and is a predicted model, not a curated record. The transcript has 9 exons. NCBI's taxonomy places the organism in Eukaryota, Viridiplantae, Streptophyta, Magnoliopsida, Ranunculales, Papaveraceae.
UUAGGACUGCGAUCGGAAAUUGUUUAUAACAUUCUGGAAUUAAAACGUAUCUCUAUAAUCUAUAUCGAUCUGUAUUCCUCUUUCUCUCACAGCCUCACUUCUCUCUGAAUUCUUAUUAGACUCACUUAUCUGUCAAUUCUAAUUAACCCUAAAACUCAGCUUCUCCACCUCAUAAAACAUCGGAGUAAUUUCAGCCUCACUUUAACAAUCCUCUCGACUAUCUCGUUUCCUUAUCUUUUUUUCCACAUCUGACUAUCUCGUCCAUCUCUUUCUUCUGUAAAAGUAAUUCCAGAUCUGUAUAAUAUGGUUCCCAUCCUUUUUUUUUUUUGAUUGAAGAUCAAGGUUUCAGAUCAGUGUAUUACGAUUUCAAUCCUUGUUAUUUCGAUUUAAGGGUUUAUUGUUUUUCUUUUUGAAUAUUUUGCUAGUUAAUAGGAAUUUUUGGGUCCUCUUUUGCUAUAUCAAAUUAGGGAUUGAUAAUUAUUAAGUUUAUUUUCGGUUCAGAUUCAACUUUGGCAGUGAUUCCCGAGUUCAAAUUAGGGUUUAAUAAGUAUAAUCAUUUUUACUAUUGUAUGAAGAGUUGAGGAUUUAUUGCUGGGAUGCUGGAUUCGUCGAUUGGUAUCAUUUGAUUUGCGAUAAAAAUCCAUUCGUUGUUUUGCAUAGACCAUUUACAAGGAAGUUUGCUAUCCAAAUUUGAAAUUUCUAACCAGAACCAACCUUCUACAGUGGAACCUAAGAAGCCAAACUGAAAUAGAUUCAUAUAAUAAAGUCACAAUACUUGUUGUUAACAAAUAGUUCCUUCUCGGAUCUAAUGUUUGUGAAGCUGAUGAAGUCAAAAUAUUGGAGGGAAUUAAUUUAAUGGAAGAGGAAGUUGACAAUGGCGGAUAUUGUUGGAGAAUCCAUUCUGGAUUGAUACUUGUGACUCAAAGAACACUGUUGGAGUUGUAGGUUGUUCGAUGAUCUAUAUGCUGACUACAAGAAAACUGAGAAUUCUAGCUGUGUAUCUCGCGACUAUAUCGUUUAACUAUCCGACAUCAACGAGAAGAUGGGAGUCAUCCUAGUUGUUUGGGAGAAAUUGAUCGUAAAUACAUUACAAUUCAGUAUGUCAGUUCCAACUUCAUAUGUAUUUACGAAAAGAUUCUUUAAAGUGGAUAAGUAAGACUAAAAGGGAUGGGAUUUCUUAGGAGGCCACUUGUUAUCUUUCAUGACUUCCAUUAGCAUUGCUUUCCAAAAUGAUAGCUUGUUCAACCUGCUUACCAUACCGUGCUGGGUCAUCUACGGUAAGAGACUCCAAAUGAUUUCAAGGAUGCGUUUGAUGUGGCUGCUCACCAUUGUACUCGAUCUUUCAUUGCAAAAUUUGGCAAAGGAUGUGUUGUGUUUAGGUGUUGAAGUCAGGCUUAGACAAAGCUAUAAGGUGUUCUUGGUACUGAAUAAAAAGUCUUUCAUCUCUCACAGGGAUUAUGCUUUUUGUUUACAGCUAAGGCUUCGAGUAAUGGACCUGAUUAGAUCUAGCUUCUCAGUAAAUGAUGGGAUGAAUGAUGAAGUCUCGCCUUCAACUUAGUGUUGGAGCUUUCUGAUUGUCAUAGUCUGGUUGUUAAGCUUGUAAUAGGAAUAUAGGUUAAACAUUUUCAACUUAGUUUUGAAGUUUUGAGAUUUGGAACUUAAAAGUAUUUCAGAUAGUUGAAGUUGUAAAUUGAAUACACUUUUUAAUACAGAUUCGGUUGUAAAGUCCUUAUCAAUUUAGUUUUACGAUCAAUUCAAUUUUGAAGCCA